UGGGGAAUAUUGCACAAUGGGCGCAAGCCUGAUGCAGCAACGCCGCGUGAGGGAUGACGGCCUUCGGGUUGUAAACCUCUUUCAGCAGGGAAGAAGCGAAAGUGACGGUACCUGCAGAAGAAGCGCCGGCUAACUACGUGCCAGCAGCCGCGGUAAUACGUAGGGCGCAAGCGUUGUCCGGAAUUAUUGGGCGUAAAGAGCUCGUAGGCGGUUAGUCGCGUCUGCUGUGAAAACUCGAGGCUCAACCUCGGGCUUGCAGUGGGUACGGGCUGACUAGAGUGCGGUGGGGGUGACUGGAAUUCCUGGUGUAGCGGUGGAAUGCGCAGAUAUCAGGAGGAACACCGAUGGCGAAGGCAGGUCACUGGGCCGCAACUGACGCUGAGGAGCGAAAGCAUGGGGAGCGAACAGGAUUAGAUACCCUGGUAGUCCAUGCCGUAAACGUUGGGCACUAGGUGUGGGGUCCAUUCCACGGAUUCCGUGCCGCAGCAAA
This 490-nucleotide ribosomal RNA is filed under the name uncultured bacterium. RNAcentral describes it as "partial 16S ribosomal RNA". It matches the Rfam family "Bacterial small subunit ribosomal RNA", at positions 355 to 855 of the family's 1533-position model. The record is from RNAcentral.